RNAcentral lists this ribosomal RNA (323 nucleotides) under Erianthus serratus. RNAcentral describes it as "partial 12S ribosomal RNA". Lineage: Eukaryota; Metazoa; Arthropoda; Insecta; Orthoptera; Chorotypidae. The record is from RNAcentral.
ACUAUUAGUUAAGUUCUUUAAACUCAAAGAAUUUGGCGGUAUUUUAUCUAUUUAGAGGAACCUGUUCUAUAAUUGAUGAUUCACGAUUAUAUUAACUUUAUUUAUUUGUUUACAUAUCUCCGUUAUCAGAAAAUUUUAUUAGAAUUUAAAUUUUCUAUUAUCUUUAUUAAGAUAUAUUUCAGGUCAAGGUAUAGCUUAUAAUAAAGUAGAGGUGGGUUACAAUGAAUAUAUUUAAAUGGAUAUUAAUAUUUAUAAUUAAUUGAAGGUGGAUUUAAUAGUAAUUAAGGUUUUAUUACUUUAAUGAUAUAAGCUCUAAGAUAUGU